RNAcentral lists this ribosomal RNA (492 nucleotides) under uncultured bacterium. Its description in RNAcentral is "bacterial SSU rRNA". It matches the Rfam family "Bacterial small subunit ribosomal RNA", at positions 791 to 1286 of the family's 1533-position model. The record is from RNAcentral.
UAGUCCACGCCGUAAACGAUGGUCACUAGCUGUUCGGACUUCGGUCUGAGUGGCUAAGCGAAAGUGAUAAGUGACCCACCUGGGGAGUACGUUCGCAAGAAUGAAACUCAAAGGAAUUGACGGGGGCCCGCACAAGCGGUGGAGCAUGUGGUUUAAUUCGAUGAUACGCGAGGAACCUUACCUGGGCUUGAAAGUUAGUGAAUAACUUGGAAACAAGUUAGUCAGCAAUGACACGAAACUAGGUGCUGCAUGGUUGUCGUCAGCUCGUGCCGUGAGGUGUUGGGUUAAGUCCCGUAACGAGCGCAACCCUUAUCAUUAGUUACCAGCGAGUAAUGUCGGGGACUCUAAUGAGACUGCCUACGCAAGUAGUGAGGAAGGUGGGGAUGACGUCAAAUCAUCACGGCCCUUACGUCCAGGGGCUACACACGUGCUACAAUGGACGGUACAGUAGGUCGCUACAUGGGCAACAUGAUGCUAAUCCGAAAAGCCGUU